RNAcentral lists this ribosomal RNA (796 nucleotides) under uncultured archaeon. RNAcentral's name for it is "bacterial SSU rRNA". It matches the Rfam family "Archaeal small subunit ribosomal RNA", at positions 85 to 879 of the family's 1478-position model. The record is from RNAcentral.
ACGGCUCAGUAACACGUGGAUAACCUGCCCCUGGGUCCGGCAUAACCCCGGGAAACUGGGGAUAAUUCCGGAUAACGCACAUAUGCUGGAAUGCUUUUUGCGUAAAAUGGAUUCGUCUGCCAAGGAUGGGUCUGCGGCCUAUCAGGUAGUAGUGGGUGUAAUGUACCUACUAGCCUACGUCGGGUACGGGUUGUGAGAGCAAGAGCCCGGAGAUGGAUUCUGAGACAUGAAUCCAGGCCCUACGGGGCGCAGCAGGCGCGAAAACUUUACAAUGCGGGAAACCGUGAUAAGGGGACACCGAGUGCCAGCGUCAUACGCUGGCUGUCCAGGUGUGUAAAAUACACCUGUUAGCAAGGGCCGGGCAAGACCGGUGCCAGCCGCCGCGGUAACACCGGCGGCCCGAGUGGUGAUCGUGAUUAUUGGGUCUAAAGGGUCCGUAGCCGGUUUGGUCAGUCCUCCGGGAAAUCUGACAGCUCAACUGUUAGGCUUUCGGAGGAUACUGCCAGACCUGGAACCAGGGAGAGGUAAGAGGUACUACAGGGGUAGGAGUGAAAUCUUGUAAUCCCUGUGGGACCACCUGUGGCGAAGGCGUCUUACCAGAACGGGUUCGACGGUGAGGGACGAAAGCUGGGGGCACGAACCGGAUUAGAUACCCGGGUAGUCCCAGCCGUAAACGAUGCUCGCUAGGUGUCAGGCAUGGCGCGACUGUGUCUGGUGCCGCAGGGAAGCCGUGAAGCGAGCCACCUGGGAAGUACGGCCGCAAGGCUGAAACUUAAAGGAAUUGGCGGGGGAGCAC